CUGAAGGAAGUACAAAAUCUGUCUCUGCUGCUCUAUAAGGGUCUGCUGCUGGUCAGUGAGUCGUACUAACUGCUGCUCCAUCUGAGUCUGGCGAUCAGACAUGUGAGUAACCUGCAGCUCUAGAUGACCCAUGGCAUCAUAAAAAUCAGAUAUAGUCCGAGAAGAUAUACCCUGCUCGGUAGACCUGCCUGUACUAGCAUCUCCUCUAGGAGCCUGCUCAGGCUCUGUAUCAGCAGGAGAAAC
RNAcentral lists this long non-coding RNA (243 nucleotides) under Manihot esculenta (cassava). RNAcentral's name for it is "long non-coding RNA (MESC_LNC005283)". The record is from RNAcentral. Lineage: Eukaryota; Viridiplantae; Streptophyta; Magnoliopsida; Malpighiales; Euphorbiaceae.